CCUACGGGAGGCAGCAGUAGGGAAUCUUUCACAAUGGGCGAAAGCCUGAUGGAGCAACGCCGCGUGCAGGAUGAAGGCCUUCGGGUUGUAAACUGCUUUUAUAAGCGAGAAAUAUGAUGGUAACUUAUGAAUAAGGAUCGGCUAACUACGUGCCAGCAGCCGCGGUCAUACGUAGGAUCCGAGCAUUAUCCGGAGUGACUGGGUGUAAAGAGUUGCGUAGGUGGCAUAAUAAGUAGCUAGUGAAAUCUGGUGGCUCAACCAUUCAGACUAUUAGCUAAACUGUUAAGCUCGAGACCGUUAGGGGUAACUGGAAGUUCUAGUGGAGGAGUGAAAUCCGUAGAUAUUAGAAGGAACACCAAUAGCGUAGGCAGGUUGCUGGGACGGUUCUGACACUAAGGCACGAAAGCGUAGGGAGCAAACGGGAUUAGAUACCCCAGUAGUC
RNAcentral lists this ribosomal RNA (442 nucleotides) under uncultured bacterium. Its description in RNAcentral is "partial 16S ribosomal RNA". It matches the Rfam family "Bacterial small subunit ribosomal RNA", at positions 338 to 795 of the family's 1533-position model. The record is from RNAcentral.